UACAGAGGUCCCAAGCGUUGUUCGGAUUCAUUGGGCGUAAAGGGUGCGUAGGCGGCGCGGUAAGUCGGGUGUGAAAUCUCGGAGCUUAACUCCGAAACUGCAUUCGAUACUGCCGUGCUUGAGGACUGGAGAGGAGACUGGAAUUUACGGUGUAGCGGUGAAAUGCGUAGAUAUCGUAAGGAAGACCAGUGGCGAAGGCGGGUCUCUGGACAGUUCCUGACACUGAGACACGAAGGCCAGGGGAGCAAAAGGG
Molecule: ribosomal RNA, 253 nt
Filed under: uncultured bacterium
Lineage: Bacteria
Description: partial 16S ribosomal RNA
Rfam family: Bacterial small subunit ribosomal RNA
Source: RNAcentral